GAUGAAGAACGCAGCGAAAUGCGAUAAGUAAUGCGAAUUGCAGAAUUCAGUGAAUCAUCGAGUCUUUGAACGCACAUUGCGCCCGCUAGUAUUCUGGCGGGCAUGCCUGUCUGAGCGUCAUUUCAACCCUCGCCCCCGGCUUUUGCUGGGAGCGGUGUUGGGGAUCGGCCGCCCGUCACUGGGAGGCCGGCCCCGAAAUAGAGUGGCGACCACGCCGUGUGCUCCUCUGCGUAGUAGUAAAUCACCUCGCAGGCGGACAGCGGUGCGGCCUGCCGUAAAACCCCCAACUCUUUCUGGUUGACCUCAGAUCAGGUAGGAAUACCCGCUGAACUUAAGCAUAUCAAUAAGCGGAGGA
This 355-nucleotide unclassified non-coding RNA is filed under the name soil metagenome. Its description in RNAcentral is "partial contains 5.8S ribosomal RNA, internal transcribed spacer 2, and large subunit ribosomal RNA". The stretch from base 1 to 120 matches the Rfam family "5.8S ribosomal RNA", at positions 35 to 154 of the family's 154-position model. The record is from RNAcentral.